GCCCACAUAGUGUAGUUCGGUCCAGCAUUCGGGACUGUCACUUCGGAACCCGACGGGAAUUCAAAUCCCGGUGUGGGCG
Molecule: transfer RNA, 79 nt
Filed under: Promethearchaeota archaeon
Lineage: Archaea; Promethearchaeati; Promethearchaeota
Description: Candidatus Lokiarchaeota archaeon tRNA-Asp
Source: RNAcentral